RNAcentral lists this long non-coding RNA (258 nucleotides) under Homo sapiens (human). RNAcentral describes it as "non-protein coding lnc-PTP4A3-1:3". Lineage: Eukaryota; Metazoa; Chordata; Mammalia; Primates; Hominidae. The record is from RNAcentral.
AUUCUGGCUCCUAAGAGCUGGACCUGCUCACCCUGCCCUCUCCUCCUAGGGGCCAGGAGACCAUCUCUUAGUAAGUGAAAGGGAUGCAGUGGUCCUGGGGGAUGGCGGCAGUGGGAUGGACCGCUGAUGUUACCUCCACUGUCAUAAGCAAGGAAACUAAGCUCUGAGGAACCACCCAGCUACUGAGAGGUGGAGCCAGGAUUUGAACCAUUCAGGACCCUGGCAGAGAAGGCUGCCGGGGGGCCGGCCACCACCGUG